RNAcentral lists this ribosomal RNA (521 nucleotides) under uncultured bacterium. RNAcentral's name for it is "bacterial SSU rRNA". It matches the Rfam family "Archaeal small subunit ribosomal RNA", at positions 345 to 866 of the family's 1478-position model. The record is from RNAcentral.
AACCUCCGCAAUGUGAGAAAUCGCGACGGGGGGAUCCCAAGUGCCAUUCUUAACGGGAUGGCUUUUCAUUAGUGUAAAGAGCUUUUGGAAUAAGGGCUGGGCAAGACCGGUGCCAGCCGCCGCGGUAACACCGGCAGCUCUAGUGGUAGCAGUUUUUAUUGGGCCUAAAGCGUCCGUAGCCGGUUUAAUAAGUCUCUGGUGAAAUCCUGUAGCUUAACUGUGGGAAUUGCUGGAGAUACUAUUAGACUUGAGACCGGGAGAGGUUAGAGGUACUCCCAGGGUAGAGGUGAAAUUCUGUAAUCCUGGGAGGACCGCCUGUUGCGAAGGCGUCUAACUGGAACGGUUCUGACGGUGAGGGACGAAAGUUAGGGGCGCGAACCGGAUUAGAUACCCGGGUAGUCCUAGCCGUAAACGAUGCGGACUUGGUGUUGGGGUGGCUUUGAGCUGUUUCGGUGCCGGAGGGAAGCUGUUAAGUCCGCCGCCUGGGAAGUACGGUCGCAAGACUGAAACUUAAAGGAAUU